UGAAAAUAUUGGAGUUCAGCCACAGUGACAGAGUAUCUCCGGAUUUCAUCCCUACACGGAUUUCAGUCCACUCCAUCUGAUUUUCUGCAGCACUUUGGUCAGUAUGUUGUUGUGCUCUUGAAGUGAAGAACCCCAAAUGAUGAUGUCAUCAAUAUAUGCUCUGACUCCUUCAAGUCCUUCAGUAAUGUUUUCCAUCACUCUAUGGGAGAUUUUUGAAAGCAGAAACCAUUCCAAAUGAUGAUCUUUGAGUGGAGCUCAACGUGCAGGAUGCACUACAGGCUGUGCAUUUUCCUUCAGCUGAAUCUUGAAAAGAAAAGCAGAGACAGCGGGGUUUCUCACUCUUCUGCCAACCAAGAGGCAGAUGCAGGGAAAGAUUUGCAGUUUCCCCCUCAGCAGACAUCGUUAAAUUCCUCCCCUGCCCCCACUGGAAACCAAGUGAUCAGAAGAAAUUUGCUGAAUUUAUUUAAUAAACAGACAUAGCAAAAGAUCUGCCUGAUUCAUUUUGCCUGACGCACAUUCAUCAGAUGUUCUUAAAACAAAAAUAAUGGAAAGUGAUUGCUUUUUUAAGAAUGUAAUUGAAAGCCUCAAAUGAGGACAACCUCUGCAAUGCAUUUAUUCUGUCUAGUAUUUUCAAA
This is a long non-coding RNA of Carassius auratus (goldfish), 635 nucleotides long. RefSeq lists it as uncharacterized. The transcript has 4 exons. The record is from RefSeq and is a predicted model, not a curated record. NCBI's taxonomy places the organism in Eukaryota, Metazoa, Chordata, Actinopteri, Cypriniformes, Cyprinidae.